Long non-coding RNA from Carassius gibelio (silver crucian carp), 1930 nucleotides. RefSeq lists it as uncharacterized. The transcript is spliced from 2 exons. The record is from RefSeq and is a predicted model, not a curated record. NCBI's taxonomy places the organism in Eukaryota, Metazoa, Chordata, Actinopteri, Cypriniformes, Cyprinidae.
AUUAGGGCUCAAGCCUGGAGGGCGAGAGCCCUAUUGUUUUCCUUAGGAUUAUUUUUUAUUAUUAGGGCUCAAGCCUGGAGGGCGAGAGCCCUAUUGUUUUCCUUAGGAUUAUUAGGGCUCAAGCCUGGAGGGCGAGAGCCCUAUUGUUUUCCUUAGGAUUAUUUUUUAUUAUUAUUAUUAUUAGGGCUCAAGCCUGGAGGGCGAGAGCCCUAUUGUUUUCCUUAGGAUUAUUUGUUAUUAUUAUUAUUUAUUAUUAUUAUUUUUCUUCAAGGUUUCGGGGGCUUUUGGGGCCCUUAACAUGCUUAAAAAGUCUUGAAAAUUGGCACACACAUUGGAACCUGCGGCCAUUAGGGCUGGGCAGAGACUGAUACACGGGCGUGGCACAGAGGCUCUACAGCGCCCCCUGGAAUAUGGAGGGCCAUAUAUCAUACAUACUUGCACGUAGACGCGCGAAACUCGGUACACAUAUAGAACUCAUCAAUACAAACAACUUUCGUAUUGCAUAUCAUAGGCUCCGCCCAACAGGAAGUUGGCUAUUUAGGGUUUAUUAUUCAUAUUUGUCGUCAAAGUUGUGGGGGCUUUUGGAGUCCUUAACAUACUCAAAAACUCUUGAAAAUUUGCACACACCUUUGGAUCUGUGGCCUUUAGGAGCCUGCAGAGGUUGGGACCCGGGCGUGGCACAGGGGCUCUACGGCGCCCCCUGGAUCACAGUUAUAAAUGUUGAUGUAUAGCUCACACAUACUUGCACGUAUUAAUAUGAAACUCAGUACACAUAUAGAUCUCAUCGUGCCGAACAACUUGCGUAUUGCAUGUCAUAGGCUCCGCCCAACAGGAAGUCAGCUAUUUAGAGUUAUGUAAAAAGCGCAUGCUCUGGAAUUUGAUAUACUUGUCAUAGGUUUUUUACUCGAUUGCCACCAAACUCGGUCAACAUGAUCUCAAGACAUUGGGGAUGAAAAAUUGCCAGGGGAUUUUUGAUAUCUCGAACGGUUUGCUCGUGGCGAGGCUUUGAAAUUAUGGCGAGAAAUGAGAAACAGGAAGUGUCUAAUACCAUCCACAUACAUUUCCUAAUUUUAAUCAAACUUCAUCAGAUUAUUCAUUGUAUGAUGUCGAUCGCAUAUAUGUGACUAUUAGGAGUCAAAGUUAUAGCGCCACCAAGUGGCAGCAGGAAGUGUGUCAUUUUCAAAAUGCUUUGAAUUCAGCAUCUUAUUUUUACUCGAUUUGCUUCAAACUUCAUCAGAAUAAUGUUAAAACACAGCCGAUAUAAAUCUGCUGGGGGGAUAUUGAUAUCUAAAAAUAUUGUUGCCGUGGCAACAUGUCAAACUGGAAUACUUCUCAGGUGAUUUUGAGGCAUAUAACAUGCUUAGAAUUUCAUCAAACUCAGAACACAUAUCAGUAUUAGUGACAGCUAGACACUGGCAAAAGUUCAUAAGAGGGUGUGGAAGAGGCACUCUAUAGCGCCACCUUUUGUCAAAAGUGGGGGGGUUAGUUUUAGCUACAAACACCAAACUCAGUACAAAAAUUGUUCUUUUUAAGACGGACAACUUUCUAAUUCACAGUCAUCAGCUACGACCAACAGGAAGUCGGCUAUUUUGAUUUGAAUGUGGAUUUUUUUUACAUUUAGCUGUGAAUUAAUGCAUACUGCUCAGAGGAGAGUAACACUAUACACACCAAACUUGGUGUACAUGUUGAAAAAACAUUGAGGAACUUAAAUUGUGAAUGGGUUUUGGAUAGCUUGGAUGGUUUUGUCGUGGUGAUUUUUUUUAAAUGACAAUAAAGAUGGAACUAUUAAUUUUCCUGCAUUUUUAAAUUCCAAACACUUCAAAACCUUUUUUCAUACAGAAAAAAAGUUAUUCUGAGUAAAUAUGCAUAGUUUAAUGACUUUACAACACUGUAUGGAUAACAGAAAAUUAAAAAACUGUCAGACAUCUCA